Molecule: ribosomal RNA, 537 nt
Filed under: Pipra aureola
Lineage: Eukaryota; Metazoa; Chordata; Aves; Passeriformes; Pipridae
Description: partial 16S ribosomal RNA
Rfam family: Bacterial large subunit ribosomal RNA
Source: RNAcentral
UAAAGGUGAAACCUGCCCAGUGACAAUACGUUCAACGGCCGCGGUAUCCUAACCGUGCAAAGGUAGCGCAAUCAAUUGUCCCAUAAAUCGGGACCUGUAUGAAUGGCUUAACGAGGUCUUAGCUGUCUCCUACAGAUAAUCAGUGAAAUUGAUCUUCCCGUGCAAAAGCAGGAAUAACUUCAUAAGACAAGAAGACCCUGUGGAACUUUAAAAUCUGCUACCACCUCCAUAAACAAUAACCCUCCACAGGACUCACUCCCCUAGGAUCUUAUUGGUAUGCAUUUUUUGGUUGGGGCGACCUUGGAGAUAAACUCAACCUCCAAAAACAAGACAACCCAUCUUGACCAAGAACUACUCAUCAAUGUACUAAUAGUAACCAGACCCAAUACAAUUGAUUAAUGAACCUAGCUACCCCAGGGAUAACAGCGCAAUCUCCUUCAAGAGCCCACAUCGACAAGGAGGUUUACGACCUCGAUGUUGGAUCAGGACAUCCUAGUGGUGCAACCGCUACCAAGGGUUCGUUUGUUCAACGAUUAA